GCCGGAGCGGCGGGACGGUCUUACGCGGCAGUCUCAAGAACUGCUGGGCUUUAUGCCCAUGAGGGUUCGAAUCCCUCCUCCGGCA
This 85-nucleotide transfer RNA is filed under the name Chloroflexota bacterium. RNAcentral describes it as "Chloroflexi bacterium tRNA-Leu". It matches the Rfam family "tRNA". Rfam says of the family: Transfer RNA (tRNA) molecules are approximately 80 nucleotides in length. Their secondary structure includes four short double-helical elements and three loops (D, anti-codon, and T loops). Further hydrogen bonds mediate the characteristic L-shaped molecular structure. tRNAs have two regions of fundamental functional importance: the anti-codon, which is responsible for specific mRNA codon recognition, and the 3' end, to which the tRNAs corresponding amino acid is attached (by aminoacyl-tRNA synthetases). tRNAs cope with the degeneracy of the genetic code in two manners: having more than one tRNA (with a specific anti-codon) for a particular amino acid; and 'wobble' base-pairing, i.e. permitting non-standard base-pairing at the 3rd anti-codon position. RNAcentral also lists the same sequence under 1 other name. Lineage: Bacteria; Bacillati; Chloroflexota. The record is from RNAcentral.